This 470-nucleotide ribosomal RNA is filed under the name Neostasina bicolor. RNAcentral's name for it is "partial 16S ribosomal RNA". It matches the Rfam family "Archaeal large subunit ribosomal RNA", at positions 1896 to 2690 of the family's 2987-position model. Lineage: Eukaryota; Metazoa; Arthropoda; Arachnida; Araneae; Sparassidae. The record is from RNAcentral.
UGUUUACCAAAAACAACUUUAAUAGAUUUUAUUAUUAAUAAUAUCUGCUCAAUGAAAUUUAAAUAGCCGCAAUUAUUUGUGCUAAGGUAGCAUAAUCAUUUGUCUUUUAAUUGAAGUCUUGAAUGAAAGACUAUACAUUUAAUUUACUUCUCCAAAUUCAAAAUAAUUAAAUUAUCAUAAAUAUAAAAAGAUAUUUAUAAAUAAAAAAGACGAUAAGACCCUAUUGAACUUUACUUCAGUUUUACUGGGGCAGUAAAUUAAAAAUCAUUUUAAUUUUAACUUCAAACAUUUCUAAUAAAAUUAACUUAAAUAAGUUACCAUAGGGAUAACAGCGCAAUAUUUUACAAUAGACCUUAUACAAUAAAUUGAUUACGACCUCGAUGUUGAAUUAAUAUUCUUAUAAUCGCAAUAGAUUAAUAAAGAAAGUCUGUUCGACUUUUAAUUAAUUACAUGAUCUGAGUUCAAACCGG